RNAcentral lists this ribosomal RNA (345 nucleotides) under uncultured Streptococcus sp. RNAcentral's name for it is "bacterial SSU rRNA". It matches the Rfam family "Bacterial small subunit ribosomal RNA", at positions 1036 to 1382 of the family's 1533-position model. Lineage: Bacteria; Bacillati; Bacillota; Bacilli; Lactobacillales; Streptococcaceae. The record is from RNAcentral.
AGGUGGUGCAUGGUUGUCGUCAGCUCGUGUCGUGAGAUGUUGGGUUAAGUCCCGCAACGAGCGCAACCCUCGCCUCUAGUUGCCAGCAUUCGGUUGGGCACUUCUAGAGGGACUGCCGGCGACAAGUCGGAGGAAGGUGGGAUGACGUCAAAUCAUCAUGCCCCUUAUGACCUGGGCUACACACGUGCUACAAUGGUUGGUACAACGAGUUGCGAGUCGGUGACGGCGAGCUAAUCUCUUAAAGCCAAUCUCAGUUCGGAUUGUAGGCUGCAACUCGCCUACAUGAAGUCGGAAUCGCUAGUAAUCGCGGAUCAGCACGCCGCGGUGAAUACGUUCCCGGGCCUU